This 408-nucleotide ribosomal RNA is filed under the name uncultured rumen bacterium. Its description in RNAcentral is "bacterial SSU rRNA". It matches the Rfam family "Bacterial small subunit ribosomal RNA", at positions 354 to 776 of the family's 1533-position model. The record is from RNAcentral.
GUGGGGAAUAUUGGGCAAUGGGCGCAAGCCUGACCCAGCAACGCCGCGUGAGGGAAGAAGGUUUUCGGAUUGUAAACCUCUGUCCUAUGUGACGAAGGAAGUGACGGUAGCAUAGGAGGAAGCCCCGGCUAACUACGUGCCAGCAGCCGCGGUAAUACGUAGGGGGCGAGCGUUGUCCGGAAUUACUGGGCGUAAAGGGUGCGUAGGCGGUCUGGUAAGUUGGAUGUGAAAUACCCGGGCUUAACUUGGGUGCUGCAUCCAAUACUGUCGGACUUGAGUGCAGGAGAGGAAAGCGGAAUUCCUAGUGUAGCGGUGAAAUGCGUAGAUAUUAGGAGGAACACCAGUGGCGAAGGCGGCUUUCUGGACUGUAACUGACGCUGAGGCACGAAAGCGUGGGGAGCAAACAGG